GCCGAUCACCGGUCGCCAGAGAGAGAGAUGGAAGAACGAGUACUGCUCUGCAGCUGCUGAGAGAUUAGGGUUUGUUUCGGCCAAAAAAUCUAAGGCUGUAUUGGAAAGAAAUUAAAGGUGCAGGUUUUUUAAAAGCAAUAUUUUAGACAUUUCAAUGAGUCUCAAGCAAUUUUCUUGACGUCCAGCGAUGCUCUGAGCAUUCUGACGACUUUUGGUGACGUUCAGAACACAAUGGUGUUACUUUGGUGACUUCCUAGUGAUAUUGGACAUUCUGACGAGCCUCUGGUGAUUGUUUGACGGAAGUCCGACAGAGGUUCGACAGUGGUGAGAUGUGCAACGUCCUUAAAUUUAAAAAAAUAAAAAUUAAGAUUUUUUUGAUAACAAUUAAAAAUAUGUAAGACUAAUUGGUGUAAGCGUUUUAUUUUGAGACUA
Molecule: non-coding RNA, 432 nt
Organism: Camellia sinensis
Lineage: Eukaryota; Viridiplantae; Streptophyta; Magnoliopsida; Ericales; Theaceae
Source: RefSeq, a predicted model, not a curated record